AUGAUGUUUCCAACAACUCUGGUUGUCAUAUUGGGUUUUCUGAGUCAAGAGUCAUUUGCCAACAAUUUUCUGUCUCAGCCUGAUAAAGCCAAGUCUGUCAUUUUGCGAAGUACAGUGACCAUCAGUGCCACAGGAAGUACAAAUAUUGAUAAUGCUCUAAGCUGGUACCUUCAGAAACCUGGACAGCCUCCCAAACUUCUUAUAUACUGGGCAUCAAAUCACUUCUCAGGAACUCCGUCUCGUUUCAGUGGCAGUAGAUCUGGUUCUCAGUACACUUUAUCCAUCAGUGAUAUUCAGGCGGAAGAUGUUGGAGAUUAUUACUGUGUGGGCUACCAUUAUGAUGGCACGUUCACACAGUGA
Non-coding RNA from Maylandia zebra (zebra mbuna), 360 nucleotides. NCBI's taxonomy places the organism in Eukaryota, Metazoa, Chordata, Actinopteri, Cichliformes, Cichlidae. The record is from the annotation of a RefSeq genome assembly.